GCUCAGAUUGAACGCUGGCGGCAUGCCUUACACAUGCAAGUCGAACGGCAGCGCGGGAGCAAUCCUGGCGGCGAGUGGCGAACGGGUGAGUAAUACAUCGGAACGUGCCCAAUCGUGGGGGAUAACGCAGCGAAAGCUGUGCUAAUACCGCAUACGAUCUACGGAUGAAAGCAGGGGACCGCAAGGCCUUGCGCGAAUGGAGCGGCCGAUGGCAGAUUAGGUAGUUGGUGGGGUAAAGGCUCACCAAGCCUUCGAUCUGUAGCUGGUCUGAGAGGACGACCAGCCACACUGGGACUGAGACACGGCCCAGACUCCUACGGGAGGCAGCAGUGGGGAAUUUUGGACAAUGGGCGCAAGCCUGAUCCAGCAAUGCCGCGUGCAGGAUGAAGGCCUUCGGGUUGUAAACUGCUUUUGUACGGAACGAAAAGGCUCUUUCUAAUAAAGAGGGCUCAUGACGGUACCGUAAGAAUAAGCACCGGCUAACUACGUGCCAGCAGCCGCGGUAAUACGUAGGGUGCGAGCGUUAAUCGGAAUUACUGGGCGUAAAGCGUGCGCAGGCGGUGAUGUAAGACAGUUGUGAAAUCCCCGGGCUCAACCUGGGAACUGCAUCUGUGACUGCAUCGCUGGAGUGCGGCAGAGGGGGAUGGAAUUCCGCGUGUAGCAGUGAAAUGCGUAGAUAUGCGGAGGAACACCGAUGGCGAAGGCAAUCCCCUGGGCCUGCACUGACG
Molecule: ribosomal RNA, 728 nt
Filed under: uncultured Variovorax sp.
Lineage: Bacteria; Pseudomonadati; Pseudomonadota; Betaproteobacteria; Burkholderiales; Comamonadaceae
Description: bacterial SSU rRNA
Rfam family: Bacterial small subunit ribosomal RNA
Source: RNAcentral